This is a long non-coding RNA of Helianthus annuus (common sunflower), 341 nucleotides long. RefSeq lists it as uncharacterized. The record is from RefSeq and is a predicted model, not a curated record. Lineage: Eukaryota; Viridiplantae; Streptophyta; Magnoliopsida; Asterales; Asteraceae. The transcript is spliced from 3 exons.
AUAAUCCCUCAUUCGCAUUCUGUUUGGAGAAAACCUAGCCGCAGACCAUGGAUUCUCAUCUUCAUCUUUAAGUAAACUGAAAGAAAGGGGAACUCGCCAAAUUUGAAGCCAUCGACUGUGGAAAACCACUCGAUGAAGCAACAUAGUUUUGGAGCGUUUUGGGCUUUUGUCAAACGUGUCAAGGCCGGUUAAGCCAGUCAGCACGUUAAUUGAGGAGUUGCUUGUGCUGAAAAUAUACAAAAUGGAGAUUGCUGAAGGUAUAAAAGAUAACCCGAUAUAUUUAGUUAUUUUUUUACCUUUAUAUUAAUUUUAUAGAUAACGUGUGACACGGGUCGGAUCAA